AGACUAGAUACGCUAGCGCGCUGUAGCAGUCGGCUCAGAUGGCUGCACAUAAGGACAGCUGUAAAUGACGUUGAUUAGCUGCGUAAACACCUACGUGAAUCACAUCAUUGGCUGGAGCAGCCAGUCACGGGUCACUCACUGACUCACAUUGAAAAAUAGCACAGAAUGAAUUGUUAUGUAUUUAUUUUAUUUUCAAUUUAGGUUGGAUUUUAUUUGUGUGCAGCGCAGAUUUUCUGUGCGUUGAGACUGUGUCAGGAGUGCGCAAUUGCGGACGCGCGCAGCUUAGAGGGAACAGUGGCUCCCAGUGGCUCCGACCACUUCCCACGCCUGCCGAGAGAAAAAGGCUGCUUUUCUUAUAUUAUCGCUCGGCCGUUUCGAAGAAAAAGGUAGAAACACCUCAUAAAGUCCUUAAUGGGAUUUUUGAAGAUUUGGCCAAAGAUGACUUCAAAAAAUUCAAGUGGUUGUUGCAUGAUGAGUUGAUAAAAGACUUUGAGCCCAUUCCAAAGUCUCGACUGGAGGAAGCAGACAGGAUGGACACAGUGGAUCAGAUGUUUCAGAGCUACUGCAUCUACACCAUUAAAGUUGCUGUAAAGGCUUUGGAGGAGAUUCCCAGAAAUGAUCUCGUGGCGAACAUCCCAGAAAGCAUCAAAGAACCUGAAGGAUGGACUCUGGACAUGCCUGGUUGAAAUGAACAUAAGGAACAAGUUUUUAGAGAGACAAGCUAACAGGACUCCUUCCCUUCUUCUCCUCCACAUCCUGGCUCUUCUCGCCCAGAUCUGCCUCCAUCGUUAUGCUGCUUCCUCCUCAGCUUCAAGGUGCUUUUAUGUUCAUAUUUUGAAUUCACAUUCUAACGUAUGGUUCAAAGGAAAAGAAAUACAGUUAUUCUGUUGUUGUGCAUGUUCUUUUAUUGUAAAUAUCUGUAGAAUACAGUUAAAAUUAGGGAUGGCUCGAUACCACUUUUUCACAUCCGAUACCGAUAUCGAUACUGCAGCCUUGAGGAUCGGGAGAUACCAAUCCGAUGUGAAUCUUUUUGUCAUUCUAAAAGUUGUUAAUAAUACAUGGAUGUAAUUUGCUUGAUACGGACAUCUAAAAACACCACGCUCAUUGUACAACACCUGUUCUGGUCCCCUAAAGAAAGAAGGAAAACAUGUGACAACAAGUUAUGUGUAACUGCUGCGGCUUUAUUAAAACUUAAAGCUCACAUCGCUUUUAACAGCGUUUGUAAACACAACAGACCCAGCUGCACCAUUCAAAUGUUUGAAAUAAAACUGCAACUUGGUGCACAUAUUUAAAUUAAAUUAAAUAAUCCCCGUAUAUAAACAGAAAAGUCACAUUAUAACUCUAAUAAUUCUCGAGACACACAAUCAAAACAUAAAAAUCUAGGCUACGCACCUGAUUUGCUGCACCAAAACAAAAAAAGAAAAACAAGGGUAAACAGUGCAAUCUAGUGUCUUUCUUCUUUUGCAUGCAGCCGCUGAUGUUGUACUGUAUGUAAAACACUCAUGAAACUAAAUAUUAGAAUGAACACUAUUCCUUACCUUACUUAUUAUUAAUUACAAACUCUAAAUUGGAGCCCUGUAAGUUUUCUCCCAUUUGGUACAACCCUGAUUUUCAGGUUAAUCAGCCGCUCCAUUUAGCUGUUUGGGAGCAGAAUGGAAUCACACAUCACCACCACCUCUUUUCAGAUAAUGUGUUCAUGUCAUAUACAAACUUGCUUCAAAAAUACAAAAUUUAAAAAAAAAAAAAAGGGAAUUUUUUACAUUAUCUACAAGUUAAAAAUAUUAUUAAGAAAAGAAUCCCAACACUUCAAAGCACGCUCCGGCCGCCAGCAUUAGCUGAAGCAAUCAUAAAGCUUUCUCCGACAACAACUAAAACCCUCUCUAAAAUAUAUAAGUUACUCUUAAGCACUGAUAAAAUACAUUUACCCAUCUCUAAAUGGGAGUCAGACUUAUCUAUAUCCCCGGAACCAGACUUCUGGACUCAAAUUUGCGAUAAUGCAUUUAAAAUGACAAAACAAUGCAUGCAUUAUGCAUUGUUGUUAGAGACUUCAAAGGAUACCGCUCUAAAUGCCAUCAGGAUGAUAUGGGGAAAAGAUUUAAAUGUUUCAAUAGAUCAAAACUCGUGGCAAAGCAUUUUUAAAAAAAUAAAAAAUAUGUCAAGAGAUGCAAGAGUCCGCCUUACACAGUUUAAAAUUUUGCAUUGCUACUAUUGGACUCCAUAUCGAAUGUUUCGCCUUGGGCUAAAGAAAUCACCUUUUUGCUGGUGUUGUGACCAAGCAGAAGGAAACUUAGCA
Molecule: long non-coding RNA, 2293 nt
Organism: Acanthochromis polyacanthus (spiny chromis)
Lineage: Eukaryota; Metazoa; Chordata; Actinopteri; Pomacentridae
Exons: 3
Source: RefSeq, a predicted model, not a curated record